CCUACGGGAGUCAGCAGUAGGGAAUCUUCCACAAUGGGCGAAAGCCUGAUGGAGCAACGCCGCGUGGGUGAAGAAGGUCUUCGGAUCGUAAAACCCUGUUGUUAGAGAAGAAAGUGCGUGAGAGUAACUGUUCACGUUUCGACGGUAUCUAACCAGAAAGCCACGGCUAACUACGUGCCAGCAGCCGCGGUAAUCCGUAGGGGGCAAGCGUUAUCCGGAUUUAUUGGGCGUAAAGGGAACGCAGGCGGUCUUUUAAGUCUGAUGUGAAAGCCGUGGGCUUAACCGGAGGAGUGCAUUGGAAACUGUAAGGCUUGAGUGCAGGAGAGGUGAGUGGAACUCCAUGUGUAGCGGUGAAAUGCGUAGAUAUAUGGAAGAACACCAGUGGCGAAGGCGGCUCUCUGGUCUGUAACUGACGCUGAGGUUCGAAAGCGUGGGUAGCAAACAGGAUUAGAUACCCGAGUAGUC
RNAcentral lists this ribosomal RNA (465 nucleotides) under uncultured bacterium. Its description in RNAcentral is "partial 16S ribosomal RNA". It matches the Rfam family "Bacterial small subunit ribosomal RNA", at positions 338 to 795 of the family's 1533-position model. The record is from RNAcentral.